RNAcentral lists this unclassified non-coding RNA (470 nucleotides) under Ichnanthus mollis. RNAcentral's name for it is "partial external transcribed spacer". The record is from RNAcentral. Lineage: Eukaryota; Viridiplantae; Streptophyta; Magnoliopsida; Poales; Poaceae.
UUGGCUACGCGAGCGCAUGAGGUGUGUUGGACCAGUGACWGUUGGGAGGCCCCCCGCCAUUGUGCGGCUGACUCUUGACGCCUGUGUUCUUUCAAUUGUUUGGCCGUUGUGCCUGACCCAUUUGACGAGUGCUUGCAUGCUACUACCAGUCCACUGGAAGUUGCNCUUGCUAAAAGUUGCCUUUGUCGUGCCCAUCCUUGAGAUGUGGCACGUCGACGAGAAAGCCUCCACGGCGUCGCCUCGUGUAGCCAGCCACCUAGACUGGCAUCAUCAAGGCCACCUUGUGUAUGCUCUUGGUCCCGGAUGCUGCAAGCAAAAAAGGCCGAAGGCGCUUCGCGUCGCGUGCCUAAGGUUGCCUUGUCGGAAACGACGACAGUCGGCUCGACUGAUGCCUCGUGUUCAUGUCGGUGCCUUCUCGUCGAUGAGGACGUGCUACCUGGUUGAUCCUGCCAGUAGUCAUAUGCUUGUCU